RNAcentral lists this ribosomal RNA (253 nucleotides) under uncultured bacterium. RNAcentral describes it as "partial 16S ribosomal RNA". It matches the Rfam family "Bacterial small subunit ribosomal RNA", at positions 524 to 776 of the family's 1533-position model. The record is from RNAcentral.
UACGGGGGGGGCAAGCGUUGUUCGGAAUUACUGGGCGUAAAGGGUGCGUAGGCGGCUUUCUAAGUCGGAUGUGAAAACUCUGGGCUCAACCCAGAGCCUGCAUCCGAAACUGGAGGGCUUGGGUUCUGGAGGGGAAAGCGGAAUUCCUGGUGUAGCGGUGAAAUGCUUAGAUAUCAGGAGGAACACCGGUGGCGAAGGCGGCUUUCUGGACAGAUACCGACGCUGAGGCACGAAAGCUAGGGGAGCAAACAGG